RNAcentral lists this ribosomal RNA (465 nucleotides) under Vreelandella stevensii. RNAcentral describes it as "partial 16S ribosomal RNA". It matches the Rfam family "Bacterial small subunit ribosomal RNA", at positions 338 to 795 of the family's 1533-position model. The record is from RNAcentral. Lineage: Bacteria; Pseudomonadati; Pseudomonadota; Gammaproteobacteria; Oceanospirillales; Halomonadaceae.
CCUACGGGAGGCAGCAGUGGGGAAUAUUGGACAAUGGGGGGAACCCUGAUCCAGCCAGGCCGCGUGUGUGAAGAAGGCCCUCGGGUUGUAAAGCACUUUCAGUGAGGAAGAACGCCUGGUGGUUAAUACCCAUCAGGAAAGACAUCACUCACAGAAGAAGCACCGGCUAACUCCGUGCCAGCAGCCGCGGUAAUACGGAGGGUGCGAGCGUUAAUCGGAAUUACUGGGCGUAAAGCGCGCGUAGGUGGCUUGAUAAGCCGGUUGUGAAAGCCCCGGGCUCAACCUGGGAACGGCAUCCGGAACUGUCAAGCUAGAGUGCAGGAGAGGAAGGUAGAAUUCCCGGUGUAGCGGUGAAAUGCGUAGAGAUCGGGAGGAAUACCAGUGGCGAAGGCGGCCUUCUGGACUGACACUGACACUGAGGUGCGAAAGCGUGGGUAGCAAACAGGAUUAGAUACCCUAGUAGUC